This 497-nucleotide ribosomal RNA is filed under the name uncultured bacterium. Its description in RNAcentral is "partial 16S ribosomal RNA". It matches the Rfam family "Bacterial small subunit ribosomal RNA", at positions 28 to 507 of the family's 1533-position model. The record is from RNAcentral.
GAUGAACGCUGGCGGCGUGCCUAAUACAUGCAAGUCGAGCGAACGGACGAGAAGCUUGCUUCUCGGAUGUUAGCGGCGGACGGGUGAGUAACACGUGGAUAACCUACCUAUAAGACUGGGAUAACUUCGGGAAACCGGCGCUAAUACCGGAUAAUAUUUUGAACCGCAUGGUGCAAAAGUUAAAGGCGGUCUUGCGGUCACUUAUAGAUGGAUCCGCGCUGCAUUAGCUAGUUGGUAAGGUAACGGCUUACCAAGGCAACGAUGCAUAGCCGACCUGAGAGGGGGAUCGGCCACACUGGAACUGAGACACGGUCCAGACUCCUACGGGAGGCAGCAGUCGGGAACCUUACGCAAUGGGCGAAAGCCUGGCGGAGCAACGCCGCGUGAGUGACGAAGGUCUCCGGAUCGUAAAGCUCUGUUAUGAGGUAAGAACAUAUGUGUAAGUAAAUGUGCACAACUUGACGGUACCUACUCAGAAAGCACCGGCUAACUACGUG